GCCGCCAAGUCGAGCCGCUUGAAAACCCUACUCGAGCCGACGUUACGCACACGUUCGAGCUGAGGCGAGUUUGCGUGCACGUGCGAGCCAAAUACACGCGAGUCUUCUGGGCAUA
Molecule: long non-coding RNA, 115 nt
Organism: Cucurbita moschata (crookneck pumpkin)
Lineage: Eukaryota; Viridiplantae; Streptophyta; Magnoliopsida; Cucurbitales; Cucurbitaceae
Exons: 4
Source: RefSeq, a predicted model, not a curated record